This 227-nucleotide long non-coding RNA is filed under the name Phoenix dactylifera (date palm). RNAcentral's name for it is "long non-coding RNA (PDAC_LNC022820)". Lineage: Eukaryota; Viridiplantae; Streptophyta; Magnoliopsida; Arecales; Arecaceae. The record is from RNAcentral.
CGCCAUCAUUUGUAGGUAUGCGGAUUUGCCGUGAGAGACUCGAUGUCCGUAGGCGACGGAAACCAUACGCUUUAAUUGUUGAGUAAGCCCAGGGGCCUGCAAGGGCCAUGCACUUUGACUGUUGAGUGAACCGGGUGUCUGCACGACCCUUACACAUUAAUUGUCUGCACGGCCGUGCUGCGGGUGGACGUAACCUUAGUGUGCAACUUAGGCGUCCUCAGGUUGGU